Molecule: ribosomal RNA, 271 nt
Filed under: uncultured bacterium
Lineage: Bacteria
Description: partial 16S ribosomal RNA
Rfam family: Bacterial small subunit ribosomal RNA
Source: RNAcentral
UACUUCCUACGGGGGGCAGCAGUGGGGAAUAUUGGACAAUGGGGGGAACCCUGAUGCAGCGACGCCGCGUGAGUGAAGAAGUAAUUCGUUAUGUAAAGCUCUAUCAGCAGGGAAGAAUAAAUGACGGUACCUGAGUAAGAAGCCCCGGCUAACUACGUGCCAGCAGCCGCGGUAAUACGUAGGGGGCAAGCGUUAUCCGGAUUUACUGGGUGUAAAGGGAGCGUAGACGGCGAUGCAAGCCAGAUGUGAAAGCCAGCGGCUCAACUGCGGU